This 212-nucleotide long non-coding RNA is filed under the name Homo sapiens (human). Its description in RNAcentral is "HSALNT0306701". The record is from RNAcentral. Lineage: Eukaryota; Metazoa; Chordata; Mammalia; Primates; Hominidae.
CCCCAGCCUCGCUGCCGCCUUGCAGUUUGAUCUCAGACUGCUGUGCUAGCAAUCAGCGAGACUCCCUGUGAGUAGGACCCUCCGAGCCAGGUGCGGCUUAUAAUCUCGUGGUGCGCCGUUUUUUAAGCCGGUCGGAAAAGCGCAGUAUUCGGGUGGGAGUGACCCGAUUUUCCAGGUUGAUUUUUGAGUAGUGAACCAGCUUUGCAUUCCUG